AGCGUAGGCUGCGCGGUAAGUCAGAUGUGAAAUCUCAGGGCUCAACCCUGAAACUGCAUCCGAUACUGCCGCGCUAGAGUAAUGGAGGGGUAAGUGGAAUUCUCAGUGUAGCAGUGAAAUGCGUAGAUAUUGAGAGGAAGACCAACGGCGAAGGCAGCUUACUGGACAUUUACUGACGCUGAGGCUCGAAGGCUAGGGUAGCGAAAG
Molecule: ribosomal RNA, 207 nt
Filed under: uncultured Rubritalea sp.
Lineage: Bacteria; Pseudomonadati; Verrucomicrobiota; Verrucomicrobiia; Verrucomicrobiales; Rubritaleaceae
Description: partial 16S ribosomal RNA
Rfam family: Bacterial small subunit ribosomal RNA
Source: RNAcentral